CCUACGGGAGGCAGCAGUGGGGAAUAUUGCACAAUGGGGGAAACCCUGAUGCAGCCAUGCCGCGUGUGUGAAGAAGGCCUUCGGGUUGUAAAGCACUUUCAGUUGUGAGGAAAGUUUAGUAGUUAAUACCUGCUAGAUGUGACGUUAGCAACAGAAGAAGCACCGGCUAACUCCGUGCCAGCAGCCGCGGUAAUACGGAGGGUGCGAGCGUUAAUCGGAAUUACUGGGCGUAAAGCGCACGCAGGCGGUCUGUUAAGCUAGAUGUGAAAGCCCCGCGCUCAACGUGGGAGGGUCAUUUAGAACUGGCAGACUAGAGUCUUGGAGAGGGGAGUGGAAUUCCAGGUGUAGCGGUGAAAUGCGUAGAUAUCUGGAGGAACAUCAAUGGCGAAGGCAACUCCCUGGCCAAAGACUGACGCUCAUGUGCGAAAGUGUGGGUAGCGAACAGGAUUAGAUACCCUGGUAGUCCACACCGUAAACGCUGUCUACUAGCUGUUAGUGAAUUUAAUUCGUGAGUAGCGAAGCUAACGCGAUAAGUAGACCGCCUGGGGAGUACGGCCGCAAGGUUAAAACUCAAAGGAAUUGACGG
This 586-nucleotide ribosomal RNA is filed under the name uncultured bacterium. RNAcentral's name for it is "bacterial SSU rRNA". It matches the Rfam family "Bacterial small subunit ribosomal RNA", at positions 338 to 916 of the family's 1533-position model. The record is from RNAcentral.